CAGCGUCACGAGUGGCAUCCAUUAUUAUUGGGUCUAAAGUGUCCGUAGCUGGAUUUGUAAGUCCCCUGUGAAAGCGUUAGGCUUAACCUAACGAAAUGUGGGGGAGACUGCAGAUCUUGAGACCGGGAGGGGCUGGAGGUAUUUCUGGGGUAGCGGUAAAAUGCGAUAAUCCCAGGAGGACUACCUGUGGCGAAGGCGUCCAGCCAGAACGGGUCUGACAGUGAGGGACGAAGGCUAGGGGAGCAAACCGGAUUAGAUACCCGAGUAGUCC
This 271-nucleotide ribosomal RNA is filed under the name uncultured archaeon. Its description in RNAcentral is "partial 16S ribosomal RNA". It matches the Rfam family "Archaeal small subunit ribosomal RNA", at positions 477 to 747 of the family's 1478-position model. The record is from RNAcentral.